GUAUCAGUGAGGUUUAUCCUUACCUGUUGUCUUAGAAAUAAGACUGCAGUAUAUGAUGACUGGAUUCUAUGAAUAUGUGAUUAUGUUCUGUAUUUGUACAUGACUUGCAACCCCUUUAUAAAUCCUAUCUGAU
Danio rerio (zebrafish) is the source of this 133-nucleotide small nucleolar RNA. Its record names the gene U8. It matches the Rfam family "U8 small nucleolar RNA". Rfam says of the family: U8 is a member of the C/D class of snoRNA which contain the C (UGAUGA) and D (CUGA) box motifs. U8 is the RNA component of a small complex (the U8 snoRNP) which is required for accumulation of mature large subunit ribosomal RNAs, 5.8S and 28S rRNAs. Lineage: Eukaryota; Metazoa; Chordata; Actinopteri; Cypriniformes; Danionidae. The record is from Ensembl.